GAUGAACGCUGGCGGCGUGCUUAACACAUGCAAGUCGAACGGAAAGGCUCCUGCUUGCAGGGGUACUCGAGUGGCGAACGGGUGAGUAACACGUGGGUGAUCUGCCCUGCACUUCGGGAUAAGCCUGGGAAACUGGGUCUAAUACCGGAUAGGACGAUGGUUUGGAUGCCAUUGUGGAAAGUUUUUCGGUGUGGGAUGGGCUCGCGGCCUAUCAGCUUGUUGGUGGGGUAAUGGCCUACGAAGGCGUCGACGGGUAGCCGGCCUGAGAGGGUGUACGGCCACAUUGGGACUGAGAUACGGCCCAGACUCCUACGGGAGGCAGCAGUGGGGAAUAUUGCACAAUGGGCGCAAGCCUGAUGCAGCGACGCCGCGUGGGGGAUGACGGCCUUCGGGUUGUAAACUCCUUUCGCUAGGGACGAAGCGCAAGUGACGGUACCUGGAGAAGAAGCACCGGCUAACUACGUG
This 465-nucleotide ribosomal RNA is filed under the name uncultured bacterium. RNAcentral describes it as "partial 16S ribosomal RNA". It matches the Rfam family "Bacterial small subunit ribosomal RNA", at positions 28 to 507 of the family's 1533-position model. The record is from RNAcentral.